Molecule: long non-coding RNA, 1037 nt
Organism: Astatotilapia calliptera (eastern happy)
Lineage: Eukaryota; Metazoa; Chordata; Actinopteri; Cichliformes; Cichlidae
Source: Ensembl
UGGUGUUUAAAGGAGUCACUACUAUGAUGCCCAAACACCACCAGCAGCCUGAGCGACACACAUACGCACACACACACUAUUUGAAAACACUGAACUCCACGUCUAUUUUAUCUGAUUUGUUUCACAGAGCUACGUGAAAGCAUAUUCUCCAAAACACAAUUGAAGCCAAAAAUCCACACAGCCCACCAACAGUACUCCAUCUGUAAAACAACAGCAAUAACAAAAAAAACCCCAAAACAAAACCCACAUCUUACUGUGAGCCAGUCACUGCCUCUCUAUGAAACAGUGAGUGAUUGACACCAUCACUGAUGUUCUUGUUAAUAAGUCUAUAAACACCAUGAGCUGGCUAACUAACAGGCUGGUGCCAUGUUAGAGCCCCGUCUGGCGCAGUGAAAAAAAACGAAAAACAAAGCACAAAGCCUGAUUAACUGCUUCUGUUUUUAAUAUGGGGUUACAGGGAAAAUGUACUCCUAAUAAAAUUAAAAAAAUAAAAUAAAAAAUACAAAUAUAUCAUCAAAUAUGUUAAACUGAGAGACGCUGCAGGCUGGCUGAGACAUAGGAGUCCUGUGAUCAGUCUUACAGUUUUUACUCAAAAUAAAUAAAUACAUUACACAUUAAACCCGUUUUAAGCCAUGCAUUCCAACUCUUAUAAACUGCCUGCAGAAAGUCAUGUGUUCUACUACUCAUAACAUUACUUUUGUGCAAACAUUGCCUGCAAUGCAUUGUCUUGUAAAAGCCAAUUAGCAAUAUAAUAAAAAACCUUUUGAUCACAUGUCAACAGGAAUGCCUGUCCUUAAAAGGAGAACAAGAUCUUGAAUGUUUAAAAUCAUCUCUGAUCAUCACUUCACAGACAAACCAAGCAGUGCUGUGGGCUCAGGUGGUCAGAGAGUCUUUACUAGAUUUUGGAUCACAUUCAUAAACUUUCAUGCAGUAAAUUUAGAUUUAUAUCUCUCCACUCCUACACAGAUCCACCAUUUUUGCACAAAAUGUAUAUUUGCUCAAAUUUAAUGUGGCACUUGAAUGAUGUGCUACCUGCG